AAAAAAAAAAAAAAAAAAACCCUUCCUACAAUAUGACAGGAACUUGAAGGCACCUCCCAAACAAUUUUCUCAAUGAUCAAUUCUUUUUGUCUUAGCCGAGUAUAAGGGCACACUUACUGGGACUCCUAAAGAGAAGAAAAAAAAUUUCCCAAGGCAGAACAAAAAUGUGAAUCUAAUGGUACCAUUUUGCACUAGAAAAUCCUUCUGCACAUGCUGAAUCCUAAAACACCAACCGACAAAAUAAGAGCAAUUUUUGUGAUUUCAAAAUCAGCGAUCGUGCUUCUCCUAUUCGUUCUUACUUGCUGAGAUCUCUGUCCUAAGCUCUCGCGAAGUAGAUUGCUUAAAGUAUCUAACUGGUGCUUGACUUGCCGUUGUCCCCGAGCAAGGCCAGAUAUCUCUUCCAUUAAUGGUGACUCCUUAGCCAACUGAGAGGAAGAUGAGGAAUUAGACAUUUUGGAUCCAGUCAAGGAACCAUUGCUUAAACCAGAAAGGAAGUAAGACGUGGAAGCAGAGCCAUUACAUGCUUCAGCUUGGAGACCCAAGUUUUGUUGGCUGGAAGAACUUCUAUUGAUGUUUAAUUUGGAGUUUAGCUCUUCAAUACGGGCUGCAAACUCAUCCAUUCUAUCAUUUAGAGAGGAUAUCUGUUCUGAAAGUUGAGUGAGGAUUCCCUGAUUUGUUAGCACUGUCAUUGACUCUGUGUUUCUCUCAGUAUGCAUUUGGUUAUUUGCAGCAAGUCCAGUAAGCUUGGACAAGUUCCUGUCACUUUGGCUUGAAUAUGAAUGUGACAUACCACUUUUGAGAUUCUUGUUUCUUAUUGCAACCCUAUCAGCAGAGGCUCGGAGAAGUGCUUCUUUGGGGCUGAAGACCAAAUCCUUAUCUAGGCUGAGUUUUGUCUUCAAAUCAUCUGGUAAAGCCAUAACUUCAUCUACAAGCUUUUCCAGUUGAAUCUGUUCUAUGUAGGUACGUGGAACAUAAAAGCCUUCCAAACCUAGCCGCUCUGCAACACAUCUCACAACCAAGCGAUCUUUUCCUUGAACCUGAACAUAUUGACGAUUUAGUUGUUCUAGCCAAUCAAUUGUCACACACACACUAUCAUUAAAGAAUACAUGGCUGCUUCUUUUAAGGAUGGUUGCUAUUGUGUAUCCCAAGGCCAUUAGCCCACCAAGAAGCCGCACACUCACUUCAAAACUGAUCCUUGGUGAUAUAACAAAUGGAGCAUCUGUUACCCAUUCCUCAAACAUAAGAUUGUAUUUUCCAUCUUUAUUCCUCAUUCUCAGAUAUGACUGGCAGGAUUCAGGAUCUUCACCAGGUGGUAGAAGAUAUAUAUCAUAGGUCUGCUCUGUUGUCUCUGUAUGUUCUUCAGAGAGAACAGCCUUGAUCUGAUCCACCACUACCUUCUUUGCUGACUUUAAUACAUAAGUAGGACUCUGGAAUCCAGAGAAAGGGUUGAAUUUGUUUAUGAUUUUUAUAUGUGCCGUGUGGAGAUCUGGCUCAAUAAAAGCUUUGUACAUUGGAUAUACCUGCAAUAAAAGUUGAGCUGAGUAUUUGAAAAGCAGCAUUGUGCAUAAAUGGUUUUAAAACAUAUUUAAAAAAAAGCAAACCGUUUCAGAUAUCUGCUGGAUAAUUUCCUCUGGUGCUUGGCCAGCACGUUGGAUGUCUCGUAGAACCCGUUUUACAAGGUCAAAAUGAACUCCCCCAGUCACCGAUACUCGAAGGUCGAGCAUAGGUCGCAGCUUUUCGCUCAAGGCAUAGAUUCCCUCAAUAAUCACUAUGCGAGAAGGUGGCACUUCAACCGUCCUGUAUCCAAUGCGGGAGCUAGACUUGAAAUCAUAGAUUGGAAUCUCAGCUGAUUUUCCUGCCUUUAAAUCAUGGACAUUCUUGAGAAGUGUGUCAUAAUCUGUCAAGCGUGGAUCUCAUAUUUCUGUAGGUCAACUCUUCCUAAUUCCUUCCCAAAGCCCUAUGCUCCAGCAACAUCAACAACCAGCAAGCCAAACCUUGUUUCACUCUCAUAACACCAAGACUAGAGAACCACUCUAUUUAACGGUUAAUUCUCUCCGUUUCCCAGAGUACUGCUUUCCCAAGCAACCAUUAUCUCCACAAACGCUGCUCAAAUCCCACACAGUGCCCUCUCACAUCCAUAUAUUCACAUAUUUAAAAAAGAUUUCUAGAGAGUGAAAUGGCACUGAGGAAUAUGAUAUAUUAUGGCAGUUGAGAAUAAAUUUGAGAAAACAAUUUAAGCUUUAUUGACUAGCAAAGCAUUUAAGGCACUGAUUAUUACCGCUAAAGAACAAAAAUAUCUAAAAUUCCAUAAUAACAUGUUCAUAUAUAAACCAAAAUAUCCAUAGAUCCAAUCUCUAUUCUAUAGUGCAGAUGUUACCUAAUAUAUUAUGCCCAAAACUUACAUUCUCAAACUAAAACCAGUUAUCAACUAAUUCAAAUCAGGAUUUGUGGACAAAGAAAUCAAAGACAACUGUAAGUUCAUGCUAUCAGAUAGCAAACCAGCAAAAGCAGAGGUAAGAAAAGGUAGAUUUCUGAAUUCCAAACCCCCUUAAUCUCCAUUAAAUUGGUCAUUUUUACAAUAAUAAAAAAAAGAUACCAAAAACUUACCUGUUAAAUAGUUAAAGCACAACGGAAAUUUAUACUCUAAGCUAUUGAAUAUGAUAGAAGAAAGAACAGAGUUGAUGCAAACACUAAGACUUGGACACAUUCUAGACAGGAUAUCUGGAGUCAAUAGAAUAGAUUCUACAUGGUUACAGACAGUCUUACAUCAUUGACUGGUAUAAAUUCAUGCCAGGGAAAAAUAGCACUUUAGCGCAUGAAUUAUUUUAUCCUCUAAGCUAUAUAAUUUCUAUAAUAACAAGAAUAUUAUCAUAGUAUGGUAAAAAAUGUGACAAAAUAGAUCUUUCCAGCGAAUUUAUCAAAAGAUAAUAAAUAAAUAUCUUGCAAAAGCUGUCUAAAAAAAUGACGAAGCGACAUCUUUGACAUUAUAUUUAAUUAAAACUGUUCAAAAGAAUACAAGGUUUCAAAAGGAAAGCUUAAAUGAGUUGAAAGAUAAAUCACCAUCAAAAUUGCCGUCAACAAUUCGGCUAGAAUCAUUGUAGUUGUCCAUUGAAAUGACGGCAACAUUGGGCAUGAAGUUUUGUACCUUCUCUGUGAAAACAGUCUUCCCAGCCCCUGAAGGACCUGCUAAGCCUACCAGUAUUAUUCCAUCAUUGUUUUGGGCUAACAAUUGGCAUGCACGGAUAAACAAAAAGAACCCUUUCUCAAAUGUAUAAGCCUGUUGAAUUGGAGCAAUCUCAUAGCGAUCACAGUCCUUUCUCUUAACCAAUCUGACUUGGUCUUUCAAGAGGCCAUGCCUUUUCUGGUGUAAUUCAGCAUUAGAAUUAUCUUGGGCCAUCUUAAAAGGUAUGCUAACUCCCUCGAAUCACAGUGAGUUCAGUUUAUUUUAAUGGCAAUGAGACAGAGCUAAGUGGUAGCAAAAUACCAAUAAUGCAGAAAGAACUACAAGGCCACUCGUAUAAAAGGUCGGUUUAUCGAUAGAACGGAAGAUAUUUUCUUUCCUGAAUAUAGAAGUAUCUGAUUUUUCCCGGAUUUUUUUAUUAAGCGAGUUUGUUUUUCAGAGAAUCUGCAAUUACACUCGAGAAAGGCCCAGAAGCAGAGACCGAGGCCAGGGGAAGGAUAGAAAGGAGAAAAAAAAGAGAGGUGCUUAUAUAGGGCUCCAAUUUUUAUUUUAAAUAAUAAAUUUAAUAAUAUAUUUUCUAGUUUCCUCCAUAAUCACAGUCAGUAUCGAACCAGGAGCCCUCUACUCUUUACCAAAACCCACAAUUGCUUCAGACUUAGUUCACGCCUUCAAAGAUCGACUUAGCUUGGC
This 3871-nucleotide unclassified non-coding RNA is filed under the name Hevea brasiliensis (rubber tree). Lineage: Eukaryota; Viridiplantae; Streptophyta; Magnoliopsida; Malpighiales; Euphorbiaceae. The record is from RNAcentral.